UACGUAGGGGGCUAGCGUUGUCCGGAAUCAUUGGGCGUAAAGCGCGUGUAGGCGGCUCGGUAAGUCCGCUCUGAAAGCCUGGGGCUCAACCCCAGGAGGCGGGUGGAUACUGCCGGGCUCGAGUCCGGAAGAGGCGAGUGGAAUUCCUGGUGUAGCGGUGAAAUGCGCAGAUAUCAGGAGGAACACCAAUUGCGAAGGCAGCUCGCUGGGACGUUACUGACGCUGAGACGCGAAAGCGUGGGGAGCAAACAGG
Molecule: ribosomal RNA, 253 nt
Filed under: uncultured bacterium
Lineage: Bacteria
Description: partial 16S ribosomal RNA
Rfam family: Bacterial small subunit ribosomal RNA
Source: RNAcentral